RNAcentral lists this long non-coding RNA (367 nucleotides) under Lathyrus oleraceus (garden pea). RNAcentral's name for it is "Pisum sativum (pea) long non-coding RNA (PSAT_LNC004075)". The record is from RNAcentral. Lineage: Eukaryota; Viridiplantae; Streptophyta; Magnoliopsida; Fabales; Fabaceae.
GGUUGAAAAUAUGUUAUGAAGCACAAAUUUUUAUUUAAAGUUAUUCAUUUAUAAAUAUUACAAAUUUGAUUAUAUUAAUACAUAAAUAUAGUUUACAUUUAUAAUAACUCUAAAAUUGAGAAAGAAUAAGAUAAUUAGUAACUGUUUUUGUUUUCUUACCAUCAUUUUAGAGUAGAAAAUCAUAAAUGCAAAGUUUAUGAAACAUAGAAAUGAAAAAAUAUAAAAAGUUUAAAGAGCUUGUUCAAUAAUUAACUGACAACUUACGUAAAUAACGAAAAAUACAAAAUGUGUCCAUGCAUGUAACAAUCAUUUCGUUUCCACCAAGUUUUGGGCAAUCAUAAUCAGUUUCACAUUUAAUACGAGCUCC